AGUGAACGCUGGCGGUAGGCCUAACACAUGCAAGUCGAACGGCAGCACAGUAAGAGCUUGCUCUUACGGGUGGCGAGUGGCGGACGGGUGAGGAAUACAUCGGAAUCUACUUUUUCGUGGGGGAUAACGUAGGGAAACUUACGCUAAUACCGCAUACGACCUACGGGUGGAAGCAGGGGAUCUUCGGACCUUGCGCGAUUGAAUGAGCCGAUGUCGGAUUAGCUAGUUGGCGGGGUAAAGGCCCACCAAGGCGACGAUCCGUAGCUGGUCUGAGAGGAUGAUCAGCCACACUGGAACUGAGACACGGUCCAGACUCCUACGGGAGGCAGCAAUGGGGAAUAUUGGACAAUGGGCGCAAGCCUGAUCCAGCCAUACCGCGUGGGUGAAGAAGGCCUUCGGGUUGUAAAGCCCUUUUGUUGGGAAAGAAAAGCAGCAGGUUAAUACCCCGCUGUUCUGACGGUACCCAAAGAAUAAGCACCGGCUAACUUCGUG
This 492-nucleotide ribosomal RNA is filed under the name uncultured bacterium. Its description in RNAcentral is "partial 16S ribosomal RNA". It matches the Rfam family "Bacterial small subunit ribosomal RNA", at positions 29 to 507 of the family's 1533-position model. The record is from RNAcentral.